This 73-nucleotide transfer RNA is filed under the name Caudoviricetes sp. RNAcentral's name for it is "tRNA-Met". It matches the Rfam family "tRNA". Rfam says of the family: Transfer RNA (tRNA) molecules are approximately 80 nucleotides in length. Their secondary structure includes four short double-helical elements and three loops (D, anti-codon, and T loops). The record is from RNAcentral. Lineage: Duplodnaviria; Heunggongvirae; Uroviricota; Caudoviricetes.
GGGGCAUUAGCUCAAUCGGCAGAGCAAGCCGCUCAUAACGGCUCGGUUCCGGGUUCAAAUCCCCGAUGCCCCA